CCCUUAGAUGUUCUGGGCCGCACGCGUGCUACACUGAGUGGAUCAGCGGGUCAGGUUGCGCGAAAGUGUUUCCUAAUCUUGAAAUCCGCUCGUGAUGGGGAUUGACGGUUGCAAUUUUCCGUCAUGAACGAGGAAUACCUUGUAAGCGCGGGUCAUCAUCCCGCGCUGAAUACGUCCCUGCCCUUUGUACACACCGCCCGUCGCUCCUACCGAUUGAGUGGUCCGGUGAGGCUUUGGGAUCUGAGCAAAGAGAGCGUUUCGCUGUUUCUGCUCGGAAAACUCAGUCGAACCUUAUCAUUUAGAGGAAGGAGAAGUCGUAACA
Molecule: ribosomal RNA, 322 nt
Filed under: uncultured eukaryote
Lineage: Eukaryota
Description: partial 18S ribosomal RNA
Rfam family: Eukaryotic small subunit ribosomal RNA
Source: RNAcentral